CCUACGGGGGGCUGCAGUGAGGGAUAUUGCACAAUGGGCGAAAGCCUGAUGCAGCGACGCCGCGUGAGGGAAGACGGUCCUCUGGAUUGUAAACCUCUGUCCUCAGGGACGAAAAUGACGGUACCUGAGGAGGAAGCUCCGGCUAACUACGUGCCAGCAGCCGCGGUAAUACGUAGGGAGCGAGCGUUGUCCGGAAUUACUGGGUGUAAAGGGAGCGUAGGCGGGAUGGUAAGUCUGUUGUGAAAUCUAUCGGCUCAACCGGUAGCUGCGGCAGAAACUGCGAUUCUUGAGUGAAGUAGAGGCAGGCGGAAUUCCUAGUGUAGCGGUGAAAUGCGUAGAUAUUAGGAGGAACACCAGUGGCGAAGGCGGCCUGCUGGGCUUUUACUGACGCUGAGGCUCGAAAGUGUGGGGAGCAAACAGGAUUAGAUACCCCGGUAGUC
This 440-nucleotide ribosomal RNA is filed under the name uncultured Anaerotruncus sp. Its description in RNAcentral is "bacterial SSU rRNA". It matches the Rfam family "Bacterial small subunit ribosomal RNA", at positions 338 to 795 of the family's 1533-position model. Lineage: Bacteria; Bacillati; Bacillota; Clostridia; Eubacteriales; Oscillospiraceae. The record is from RNAcentral.